AUUGAACGCUGGCGGCAGGCCUAACACAUGCAAGUCGAACGGUAACAGGAAACAGCUUGCUGUUUCGCUGACGAGUGGCGGACGGGUGAGUAAUGUCUGGGAAACUGCCUGAUGGAGGGGGAUAUCUACUGGAAACGGUAGCUAAUACCGCAUAACGUCGCAAGACCAAAGAGGGGGACCUUCGGGCCUCUUGCCAUCGGGUGUGCGCAGAUGGGAUUAGCUAGUAGGUGGGGUAACGGCUCACCUAGGCGACGAUCCCUAGCUGGUCUGAGAGGAUGACCAGCCACACUGGAACUGAGACACGGUCCAGACUCCUACGGGAGGCAGCAGUGGGGAAUAUUGCACAAUGGGCGCAAGCCUGAUGCAGCCAUGCCGCGUGUAUGAAGAAGGCCUUCGGGUUGUAAAGUACUUUCAGCGGGGAUGAAGGGAGUAAAGUUAAUACCUUUGCUCAUUGACGUUACCCGCAGAAGAAGCACCGGCUAACUCCGUG
Molecule: ribosomal RNA, 490 nt
Filed under: uncultured bacterium
Lineage: Bacteria
Description: partial 16S ribosomal RNA
Rfam family: Bacterial small subunit ribosomal RNA
Source: RNAcentral